This 471-nucleotide ribosomal RNA is filed under the name uncultured soil bacterium. RNAcentral's name for it is "bacterial SSU rRNA". It matches the Rfam family "Bacterial small subunit ribosomal RNA", at positions 26 to 507 of the family's 1533-position model. The record is from RNAcentral.
AGGAUGAACGCUGGCGGCGUGCCUAACACAUGCAAGUCGAACGUUAGGAUUUAGCAAUAAAUCCGAAAGUGGCGAACGGGUGAGUAACACGUAGGUAACCUGCCGCGCAGAGGGGGAUAACGACUGGAAACGGUCGCUAAUACCGCAUGGUACCAAGUGCAAUGGGAUGCACUUGGUUAAAACUUUGGUGCUGCGCGAGGGGCCUGCGUCCGAUUAGUUAGUUGGUGAGGUAACAGCUCACCAAGACGAUGAUCGGUAGCUGGUCUGAGAGGAUGAUCAGUCACACGGGAACUGAGACACGGUCCCGACUCCGUACGGGGGGCAGCAGUGAGGAAUAUUGCACAAUAGGACGAAAGUCUGAUGCAGCAACGCCGCGUGGAGGAUGAAGGCCCGUUAGGUACGUAACUUCCGUUUUUACAGGGUAAGGAGAGGACGUACGUAGAAGAAUAAGUACACGGACUAACGUACGCG